AGCAGCCUAACAUCGGCUGCACCGACCCGACCCGCAAUAGCCCAACUCUCUCUUCCUUCUCUUCUAUCAGAAUAUCGACAACAAACAAUUGUAGUAUGCGAACAACUAUUACAACAACAUCGCAAACAAAUUUUCCAAAACCCCCCCCAACAGACCCAAUUUUAAACCCGAAAUCAAUCCCAAACUGCCUUUUUUCCCUUUCUUACUCCUCACAUGAUUAACACGCGAUUUUGUACCAUGAAGGGUCGACAAUCUUCUAGAAAAUAUCGAGGUGGUUCCUAAACGGUUGAAUUCAUACAAAUUUAUACAUAUUUGUGUGAAUUUCAUUGGUUGGGUGUAUAAUCCCUCGUUCCCUAAUUUUUCUUGGAUCACCUAUUUCAAAUUUCUUGAAAAAAGACCAAAAUCAGUACAAGGUUGAGAAAAUUUUUUGUUAUCAUCCAAAAAUAUCUCUUACAAAAAUUCUCAAAUUACCCUUAAAGAUAAAAAAAUGAUCCUUAUAUUAAUGCUCUUUAUUGAGCUAAAAGUUCAAGUCUAAAAGAGUUAAAAAAAACCUUGAGCAAGGAUUUGAAAUUUUUUAGUAAAACAAAAUUCUCAAUUAGUCAGAAGUCUAAAAGCUGCUUUCGGUAGUGGCGAAUUCUGGCGAAGUUUAAGGCACCAUUUUGCUUCCCUGAGAAAGGUUAGUCUUCGAUUCUUCUUUCUUGUCUUGUCGUGUUGUUAUAGUUAUAGCAGUAGUAAUUUUGAUUAUUGCAUUGUAUGUUUAGAAUUAUUGUUGUAGAGGCUAUGAAGGCUAUAGGUUUUUAUUAUGAUGAAAAAUAUCGUUGUGCUAUCUCUCCGCCAAAUUUCAUCUUUUUUCUCUUGUGGAUGUAUGUUAGCUCUUAGUCCUUCCUCAAUAUAAGUGAAAGUGAUAGUUGUAGAAAGUGUUUGAAAGUCAUAAGUCUUCUUUGUUCAGCUCUUGGACUUAAUAUCUUGUUGGUUAGAUCAUUGUUUUGCCUCAUGAUUCUUGUUUUGGUUCUGAAGAUUCACUAUUUAUCUUAAUCUGUGAUUUCCUUUAGUGCCUCUUUUUGUGAUUUUCUAUUGAGGUUCAACGAUUCCUACUAAAUCCCUAACUUAUUUAUACGUGUUCUGCGUAUCUUUUUUAUUCACUCUUUGACAUAAGUGUUUCUGUUGGGCCUUUCUCAUUUUUUGUUCUAGCUUAAGGGUGUGGCUUGUACUACUUCUAUCUACUAUUUUUUAAGAAAAAAGCUUAAUCCGUCUUGUCCAGCUUAACUUCCUACUUGUUUUAGCUUGAAUACUAAUUCUUCAUCUUGGAAACUUUGAUUUUGAUACCUGUGUUCUAUUUUAAAUUCGUGUCUGUUAGGGGUUCUUGUUUGAGGCCUUUGGGAAAAUGUAUUGGCUUGUUGAAGAAUAUUAGGUAUUUAAGUAUCUCUGUUGAAGUAGAAUAUCCUAAUUUUUGUUGUCAUUACGCUAUGUGUAAUUUGUGCUUAAGCUAAGGAUUCCCAAGAAUCUUUCUUGCUCGAUAACAUCAAGAAGAGAGGGGUGAAGUUAUAUUUUUCUUACUCCUAAAAACAAAGUUAGGAGACGGAAUACAUCAUCACAACUGUUUGCUUCUAUCCUCAAGUGCCCACUAUCAGGGAUUUUUUUAUUUUUAAUAUUUGAAAAUAUUUAAUUGUUUUCCCUAGUCUAAUAACUAUAUAUUUUGUGGUCGGGUGCGACAGAUAUGUUAUAAUUGGUCCAGCUGUUGUUUUGUUUAGCUGAAAAGCUCAAAGUUGAAAGGAGAAGUUGUCUUUUUGAAAUGGCUAGUUUUAUAUCUCUUUCUCUGAUUCAUGAGUGGAGUAUUGAACAACUUACUUGCUCUCAGUGUGUACUAUUACUUCUCUUCUAUUAGGUAUAUGCUCUAUUCUAGUUUCAUUGCUUUCAUCAAGUGCUCGUCUCUCAUGUAUUCUUAGAGUUAUUUAUUUUAAAUCAAGCAUGUUACUAGUAUCGAUUAGGCAAAUUGCAAUGUAGACCUCUGUCUUCAUUUUAUGAAUUAAGUGGUUUAGUUAAAUGGGCCUGUUAUCCCCCCAAAUCUUAUAUGAUACUCAUUUAUUCCAGAUUGUUUUAUCUGUUGAAUCCAAGUGUUUUUUGCUUUGUUAGCAAAAAUUAUACGUUUUCAUUUAACAGGUCAGGUCAUAAGUUACCUCUUACUUUCCUUCUUUUCAUUUUUCAUUUUCUAUGAAAGCAUUGGUUGUAUUGUUCUUAUUUUUGUUCAUUUCUUUGCUAUGACUUAGUCUGGAACUAUCUUUUUGAAAUUUGUCUUGAAACAGUAAAGUUUAUAGUUUCCUACAAAGACUGUUUUAAUCGUGAAAUUUUAACGAGUUUAUGAGGUGCUUUCAUGCAAUUUUGGUAUUAAACAUUGUAUUUCAAGUCAAGUACGAACAUAAACGCCUAAUUUCCUAUAAAGGUCGAAUUGAUUCACAAUUUUUUUUGAUGGCUUGAAUGAUGAAUUGUUUAGUUGACUUCCAUGUCUACUUUUAUCUCUCAUUCCUUUCCCAUAUUUCUUCUUUUCAAGUUUUCUGAAAAUGCCUUGUUAAGAUAUGAAUACUCCGAGUUAGUAUUGCGGAUUAGUAAGAAGAUCAAAUCUUGUUUUGAUUACUUGAAAUAUGAAAGCCAAUCCCAUGUGUAGUGUGAAUAUGUUCAAGAUUAUAUAUAGUUUGAAUCAGUUGUGUUUUGUAUUUAUUUUUCGAAUUAACUACUCUCAUUUCGAAUAAAAUUCUAAUCCUCCUCUUUUCUUUGGCGUGAAAAAUCUGUUUGGGGUUCGAGUGGACUUUCCUUUUCUUUGCAUUCAUAAUAGGCAAAUGGGGCCAUCUCUUCGAGUCAACUUCAAGCUAAGUCCAAAAGUUUGUCCUAUGGAGUACCGUAAUAAGGAUAUAGAAGAAGAUAAUGGGUCCAAGCCCAUUGACAUAGCUGCUAGGAUUUGGAGACUUGAAAAGUCUCAUUCUUCAUUAUUUUAUUUAUUUAGUAUUGCUUUACUUGUCUUUAUUCAUUUAGUUACUUAUUUAUUCAUUCAUUCAGGGCCUCAAAGCUAAAGUGGUAAAUUAAUACAGAGAAAGCAGAUUUUGGGCCAAAGGGGUCCGAAAAGAUAGUUUAGGACAGGUUAUAGGCCAAAAGCCUAAUAUUUAAAUUAGGACAGGUGAAAAUGAGCUAAAAGCCCAAAUGAAUAGUUAAGGACAGAGGUAUUUGGGCCAAAAGCCCAAUUAUAUUAGUACAGGAUUGAUGGAUUUUGGCUUACAAGCCUGACUUAUAAUUCUUCCCGUUCCCCUUUAUGUGUUAUUUGAUAUUAGUUUUCUUAGAACUAGUUAAAUUCCCCAUUAAGUCGUCCAAAAUUAAUUUUGCACAAAUUUUUCUCUUAAUCAAUUUUUUUAUAAAAUAAUACCUAUUUAAAUUUAGACAAAGAUGUUGUUUUCAAAUAGUCCGGAUAACCGCAAGUUAAUAGAUACUCUUGGUUCCUUAACCACCUUCCAAGAGUAUUAAUAGGAACCACUUACUCGGAAUUUCAAACUUAAAUAAUUUUUUUCUACUUUGAAUCAUUUAAGUAAUUUCCAAAGGUUUUUUCUUAAUGUUUCUAAAUAAAUUAAGUGGAGACUCUAUUCUUGAGUUUAAAAACUUUUUGAAAGCAAAAAACUCAAAAGUUAUUUCUCCGCAAAACAAAAAUAGCGUCUCUGUUGGGGAGAUUAAGUAGGUUCUAACCAAAUAUUUGAAUUGGCUUCGUUGACUAACUAUUGCAAUUUUUAAACUGCUUAUGCACUUAUAUUUUUAAUUUCUACGAAAUUAAGCUAUUAUAUUUCAUGGCAUAGUUUCCACUCGAAAUAUAUAAAUUGUUUGGGGUUUCGUUGAUGUUCAGGGCCCUAUUGUUCAAUUCUAAAGUAAGUGUUGGGAAUACGACGGUUUAUUAGCAUGUUAGGCGUCUGAUGGCUAUUCAUAUUUCCAAACCCAAGUCGUCCUCCAGGGACCCUGGUCCAAAUCCACUCUAGACACCCAGGAUAGAGCGAAACCAAAGCCACUAGAACUUGAAUCUAAACACGAAGAAGUAAAGAUAGAAGCAUAGGAUAACCAAGAUAGGAAGACAGACACAAAAUUGAUAAUGCAAGGGGAAUCGAAGGUUAUUUCAAACCCUAAAACCUCCCUUAAUGGAUUACCAAUUACCACCUAACUCUUACGUCACCGCAAAGGGGAUUAGAUCUUCCUUACAACCAACGUUUCUAGUCAAGGCUCAAUAUUGACUUUUCCAAGUACUCAUCACUCCCAAUGGACUUUCCAUGAAUACAUCAUGAUAAAUAGUCAACAAAAACUAAAGAAGAAAGACCUAAAUCUAUCUAUUUAUAGUCAAAUAAAAGGCCUAAAAGUCACCCAUUAGCAAAAACAAAAAAUAACCUCAAGGGUGAUUUUCAAUUGAUGACUUCAUCACUAGUCGCCACUGUAGUCGUCAACCAAGUGAUAAGUCAUUGCUUUAGUCAUAACCCUUAACAUAAUGUCAUCUUCAGUGACAAUUCAUCACCUAAGUUAUCAGAAAGGUGAUAAGUCAUCACUUAAGUCAUCUGCCUUAAUAGAAUGUAAUUUUCAGCUUGAUAACUCGUCAGUGAAGUCGUCAACAACGUGAUAACUUAUCAACCAAGCUGUCACUUCUAGGAAGAAUGUUAGUUUUUUUAUCUUUUUAUCCCAAUAAAUUAACCAUACAUGAGAUUGUUGGUUUAGGAGCUCAAAGAAGGUCCUCCAAGUGUAUUCUUGAAUUGUUUGGUUUAUCAUGACUCGGACCUCUUUGUGUUGUCCUCGAAUGAUGUGUUCAAAAAUGUUCGUGGCCAUUUGGCUUGCAUCAUCCUCCCCUUCUUGAAAAGGAUUUGACCUUGAAUCUAUUCCUUGAAAAAUCAAAGGAAGGACAAACAAACACAAAAUCAUCAUGGAAUGAGGGUUAUGGUUAGCACACAAAUCACAUCAUCAUGCCAAGGUUGAACAUAUUUAAUAUAUAUCCAAGUAUCCUUCAUGUUAAACAUUAGAAGCUCGUUGAAAAAUACACAAAGAAGUUGAUUAUGAACAUCAUCAAGAUAUAAGGAAACAAUAAAGGUCUUAAUGACAUCAAUUAUUCCAAAAGGUAGAACUACGUAUACCUUAUGAGCCAUAGGACACAAUUGCUUCAUUAUUUCUUCAACAGACCACACCAAGGGUGGUGCCUCAAUGGCUUCUAAAGUUCACAAGAUCCAUAUAGUAUUGUGACACAAACAAGUGGACAAACCAACAAUUUUCCUACCUCGACAUAAAAAAUCCAAGACUAGCAUGGAUGUCGUCAUAUGGAAAAAAGUAGUAUAGAAAAGAAUCAAGUGUAAAGGCAUCAUCCAAGGUGCUUGUAAUACCCAAAAAUCCAAAUCAAUAUUAAAAACAUUCUUCAAGAUCAUGGAAAAUAAAUUAUAGUGAUUUGGUAGUUUUAUUAGUGAGUUUGAUGUAUAUUAAGGCCUCAAAUAACUCCUAGUUAUUAAAUAAAUCAAAAUAUCUCUUACUGAUUGAGUUCUUGAGAAGGAUGUCGCCAUAGUGAACUUCAAAUGAGAAUAUGUUUUGUUUUACUAAAAAAAUUUUAUGACAUAGCCCACCAACGGUUAGAUAAUUGAAUUAUCUUUUCAACGAUAGCAAUUUUUUCUUAAUCUGAUUUCUGAUUAAAACUUUAUGCUUGUUUUACCAGAGAGCUGUCCUACUGUCGAAGUGCGAUGGCCAGGUUAACGGUCAUCAAGCCAGGCCGUCAACUUCAGGAAGUGAGCUCAUUUUCUACCCAUAAACUGAUUUCUUGAGUGACGGUCAAUCACCAGAGUGACGGUCGGUCACCCAAACCAUCAACCAAGCCCGCUCAAUGAAGGAUUGACAUUUUUAAUGAGGUCUAUGGGUCUUUUUCCACCCUUUUUAACCCCUAAUUCCAUCAACUUAAAAAACAUAACCCCUCACUCAUCCUUAAAAUCAAAAUUAGGGCUUCUUUCAAGAUCAUUCACCAAGAACAAGAUUCAAACCCUUCUUCAAGAAACUAAGAAAUUCAAGUUCUUCAAGUUCAAGAAACAUCAAGAAAACAUCAAGAUUUAUGAUUCCCAAUCCAAGAACGUUCAAGAAAAGUUAAUUCUCUUUCAAGAAUAAUUCUUUAAGGUAUGUUAAAUGUUCAUCCAUGGAUCCUUUUCACCCAUGGAUCCCAAGAACCCAACUUCAAAUUCAAAGUUAUGAUUUUUACAAAUUAUGGGGAUUUUAACCAUGAGUCGCCUUGAAUUUUGAUUCUAUAACAUGUUCCCCAAACAUUAGAAUGGUGUUGUUCACUGAAUUAAACCCUAAUUGGUGAUUUUAGUAGGAAAACCAUGCUAUUACUAUAAGUUUUAAAACUAUUCCCAUACUUAUCUUAAACCAUGAAUUACAAGUGUUUGAUGAAAUGCCCAAAAAAAGGAGUUUUGAAUAAAUGCUUACAUAUCAUGUCCUCAAAGUUUUAGUACAAUCCUUCUAUUAUUAUUAUCGAGUCCUGGGGGUUUAAAUACCCAAAAUUUAGUCGCUUACCUAGUUUUCAAUAUUUAUAGAAUGGUUACAGAAUUUAAAUAGUUAAGCAUAGUCAGCCAAAUAUUUUGGGUCUUUCAGUUGGGAGUAGGAUUUAGCAUCGAGCAAAUGUAGGUAUAACGGCUUCCCCAUCAGUUAGGCAGAGUCAUUAGUAGCAGUCCUUGCAUUCCAGAACUAUGUAGCCGGCGUAGGAUAUGAGGAGUCACCCAUCAAUUUAGGCUUGAUUUUGCCCAGGUGUCACCCAUCAAUUUAUGCUUGACAUCCUAGUUUUUCAGUAGCUUAGUGGAUCCACUCAGCCAUGAGUUAGUACCCGUGGCACGAUAUUGGCACCCUUCCAAUUGGGGUCACAGUUUGGACCCCAAUUUGCUCAUUGGGGCAUGUCGGUUAGAUGAUAGCUCCCAUAGUCUCAGUCCAAUAUUCAGCCCAAUAAUUUAGUUUCAAGUUUGCUUGAACUUAGCAUACAAAUAUAAGUCAUUUGUUUAUCAGUAUUCAGUAUUUUAGUUAACUUAUUAUAUUUAGAACAUGUUUUAUGCUUGGUUAUGCAUUCUCAGUCUUUACCGAUUUUAUGCAUUAUAUUUAGUACUUCAUGAUAUACAUUCAAUCAUCUAUUACUUGUGCACAUAAAACCAUGUAUAUUAGCCUAACCUCAUUUAGCAUACCAGUAUAUUCAAAGUACUGAUCGCAUACUCUUUUCUUAUGCAAUGAUGUUUAAUAUCAUAGGUUUGGAUGCUCAGUUCCCUAAUCGCGCAUAGGCAUACCAAAUUAUCAGCUGUAGUAGUGGUGAGUCCUCAUACUUAGAGGAAAGGGUUUAUUUAUCUUAGUUUACCUUAUCAAUUCAGUAUUUUCUAUUCAGUUGGAGUUAGUUGGGGUUUAUCCCAUCAGCUCCACAGUCAGUCAUUAGAUACUUUUUAGACUAGUAUAAAUAGUUAGCCUUUGGUCGUUAUCAUUAGUCAUUCUAUCAAUGUGGUCAGUAUUAUUUUAUAGACAUUAUCAGAACUAUGUUUUAAAACCUUAUGACCUUUUUUAGUUAAAUUCCAUAUAUGAUCUUUUGAUGUCGGUUAUACUCAGUGCUUAAGGCAGGUACCACUAUCAUAGGUUAGUUUGUGGUCACUUGUCACUAUAGGUACCGUAUGGCAUCCAGGGUGUACUCAUGGGGCUUUACAAACUUGGUAUCAUAGCCUAAGGUUUUAAAGUUUCCUAGGAAGUCUAAAAGCCAUGUUAAGUAGAGUUUUGUGCAUGGGUGUAAAGCCCACCACACUUAUGGACAAGAGGCUACGAGAUAUUUUAAGAAAAGUUUCCCUUCUUUCAGUGUUCAUGUAGUGCAAAAGAGAAUGAUCUUGAUUUAAAAUCACUUUCUAACUCAUCUAUCCUUCUGUGUAUAUAAAAUACCUCCCAGAAAGAACAACAUAAGAAGAAAUAGGAAUGAUCCUACACCUCCACCUAUUUAGGAAGAUCCCCUAAAUGAGCAUGUCUAUCACGCUAAAUUUAGAGUUUCCUUCACUACUUUAUCCUAUUCAGUGUUUAUUAGAACAAUCUACAGGUUGUUGUCCUAGCUAGGCUUUUGACUUAUGCUCAGAAAAGUGAGGAGAGAGCGUAGAAAGAAAGAGAGAAAAAAAUAAGAGGGCCAGAACAAGUAAUUUUAAUCUAAGGUUAGGGGGUAGUAACCGCUCCUAAUUCCAUCAAAAAUUCUCAGCCCUAGCUUUGCCUUUAACUAGUGUUCCAGUGCCUAAGUUUAAGAAUGAUUGUCAAAAUAGAACACUAGGCUCUAAGUCACAAGGUAGUGGAAAAGGUAUUCGUACUAAUUUGGUUUGCGAAGAAUAUCACAGGAAUCAUAAGAGUAUUUGUAGAGCCGGUAGUGAUUUGUGUUUUGGGUGUGGAAAGACAGGCCCCAAAGUUAGAAUUUCCCAACAAGUGGUCAGCAGGGAAAAUCCAAUCGUCCUCCAAUUCCAUUCUAUCACCCGACUCAGCAGGGCACCACUUUUAGUGCCACCAAUGGUUAAUGUCAGAAAAGACUUUAUGAACACCAGUCUCAACAUGAUCAGGAAAUUUCAACUAAUUUGGUUACGAGUAUGUUAUCGGCCUUUCAUAUUGUUAUGUAUGUUUUACUAGAACUAGAGCUUCACUUUCUCUUGUAACCCUCCUAUAUAGCUGUCAACUUUGGUGUCAAACCUGAAACAUUAGCAGAUCCCUUCUCAAUGUCUAUAUCAGUGGGUAAAUCUACCAUUUCCAGGUGAGUAUAUAGAAAUUGGUUGGUUACAGUAUCCUAGAAAAACACUUCAGUUGAUUUCAGAAAUAAAGUCCUUCAAUUUCAGUUUCUCGAUGAACUAGUCAUUUAAUGGGGGGUAAUACCUCAGUCUUAGGGGUCAGAUGUGUUUUUAGAGCCCUUCUCAGAAUCUUAUAAUAGUAGAUGGCCUAGAAUUAGAAGCAUAAACCUAGAAGUUUAGUAACAAUAGAGUGGGGAUAGUAUUAUCUGAAUUUGGUGAAUUACGUAUCCAUAGGUCUAAUUGUAUGAAAAGUAAUCAGUAGGCUUAAAAUAGUGUAUUCAAGAUAUUAAGCUAUGUAUUAUGGUAUGGGUGUGCUUAUUCAGCAUCCUUGAGUGCUAAGUUUGAAUGGGGUUAUUGAUGUAGUAAUUGAUGUUCUUACCAGCUCCAUUAUGGAUUAUAAGAUGUUGAUGUCAGAUGUUCGGGUGCAAAAGUAGUUCUCAUGGUUUAGGGAGAAAUAUAAGUUUAAAGAUAGGAAAAUUGUAGGUUAUGAUAAAAGUAGUAUGGUUAUUAAAUAUUUUGGGAUAUCCAUGUUGUGUUAGAAUCUAAGUUUGAAUCUUUGAAGGUUGAGCUAAUAGAAAGAGGAGUUGAAAAUUCUAAGUUAGUCAAUUUUAAGUUGUUACAUAAUGAUUGUUGGGGCUAUAGAAAGGUAUGAGUUGUAUCUCAGAAGAAAGUACUAGUAGUAAGUCUUACAUUAUUGGGUAUAGUCAUUCAGGUGAGUUUACCAACUAUAUGUAUUAUUACAUCCCAGAUUCUAGAGUACGAUGGUGGCAGUUCAGUUUAGAAAUAUUGAUUAAGUGGUUCCAAGACUUAGAAUUGUGAAUUUAAGAUAAGGGGGAGAUGAUGGAACAAUUAACCAAGUUAGGCUCUCAGAUUCUAGUAGUGAUACUAGAGUGUUGUAGAACAACACUAGGGAAGAAGAUGUCGGACCCAUGCUUAUUUCAGUAUUUGUACUUCAGUUAUCAUAAUAUGUCAGCUCUAUGACCAUAGCUCAUAUUCAUGCACUUUAUAGAAAAUCAUGUACUCUCCUAGUACCUAGUAUGAGGAGUCCUAGUUCACCCAACAGUAUGAAUCAUAUUCCAUGAAUUCAAAAACUCCAAACUCAGGUCAUGCAGUUCAUGACUAGUGUAUUCAUGUUUUAAAGUAUGCUCAGUUUCCAUUACUAAUGCUACACUCUUAAUGACCAGAAAAAUUCAGAUUUGUGUCAUGUAUGUCCUCAGUUUAGACCUCUUUAAGGAAUUCAUUUCAUUUAUACUCUAUUCCUCAGGCCACAGUUAAGUGUCCAAGUUAUGCAUGGUAUUUCUUCCAUACUUCAGGAUCUCAUAUUCUAACUUUUCAGUGACCUUCCUUUAUGAAAUAAUGGUGAUGAUGAGUAAUUUGUUUAGAUAUGAGAAAGUAAAUGUUUCAUGUUAAGGAAAGAUUUUUGCAUGCUUGUUUUACAUGAGGCGGUAGUUAUGAAGAUAGGCUUGAAUGUCAUGUUGGUGUGUAAGUAGAUAAAUGCAUUACGUGUUGGUGAAUGGCUAGUAAAAGUUUGUAUUUCAUUAUUGAAGGAGUAAUCAGAAGUAUUUAGAAGAUGGGAAGUUAUUAAAAUGCAUAGUGUAUUGAAUUCAUGACUCAGACUAAUAUUACAGUGUUAUGUGGACAUUGUAUAGAUUUGAGUAGGCUUGAACAUAGCGGGAGAAUUUAGACCAGCUCAACCCUCAGUAGAUAGAGUUAUCGUGCCCAUGUGAAUAUUUUUAGUAGCCUUAAGUGAAGUACGAUGUUGAAGUACAAAAUAAAGUUGAGGGAGUAGGUGAGAAGUGUGUCUAAGAUUGUAAGUUAGUAGUUGUAGUACAUACAGCUUAGUAACUCUAUCCUAGCUAAUGUUUCGUAGGCCUGUGUUCCAUAUUACAGAAUUUUAGCCAUGUUGUGAUUUCUUAUUGAGAUGUCCUAUUCAGACCAUGUUAAGAUUCUCUGCUCCCUAAUAUCAUUAGAACUUUAUGGAAAGAAUGUCAAAGAAAUACUCUAGUUAAGUAUAAGCUUUUAGUACGAGUUAGUUUGUAUAGCCAGUAAUUUGGUUUAGCAGUUAGGCAGACAAGUUCCUAUGGUUUUCAUCUCUCUUAUUCAAGAGGAAAUUCCUUCACAACCAUGCAAGUCGUAACUUCAAUUCAGUCCAUGCAUCAGGCAUAAGUUUUAGAUUCCAGCUAUUUAGUCAUGAUUCUCGUGUAUCAUCUCAGUCUUUCCUCAAUAUUUUAGCCAUGUUAGUGUCUUUCGGGGGACAUAUUAUCCCAAGGGCAGAUGUAAUAUAAACCCCCAAGCUUUCAUGUUCUAAACCUUCUAUCUUCUUUUCACGUAACAAGAUUUAGCUUAAAGUAAUGGGUAAAAAUAAGUUGACUCUCUCAUUCCAAUCUCAACCUUAUAACCAUUCUCAUGUCAUUACAUAUACUCAAGCAAAUCAAUUUAGUUCAUGAUAUUAAAUUCAUGUAUCAUGUUUCAGACCCAAUUAUGUUCUCAUGUUCCCAAUCAUGCAUAUUCAGUAUAUGAUCUCAGAUUCUUCAGUACUCUCAGCUAAACUAGCCUCAUUCGAGGAUGAAUGUUUCCAAAGGGGAGAUAUAGUACUACCCCAAAAAUCCAAACUAAUAUUAGAACCAUGAUCAAGAUCUUGCAAAAGAAAUUAUAGUGAUUUGGUAGUUUUAUAAGUGAGUUUUAUGUAUACUAAGGCCUCAAAUAACUCCUUGUUAUUAGACGAAUCAAAAUAUCCCUUACCGAUUAAGUUCUUGAUAAGGAUGUUUCUAUAGUCAACUUCAAACGAACAUAUAUCUCAUUUUACUAAUAAUUUUUUAUCUCAUGACCCACAAAUAAUUAGAUAAUUGAAUUAGCUUUCCAAGUACCAGUUUACCCUUAAUCCAAUAUUGGGGUAAAAUGUUAUACCCAUUUUACUAGAGAGUUGUCCAACUACCGAAGUGUGACGGCUAGGUUCAUAAACCAUCAAGCCAGGCCAUCAAAUUCAGGCAGUGAUCUCAUUUUCUAGCCAUAAACUGGCCGAUUAAGUGAAGUUCAGUCACUAGAGUGACGUUCCAUCACCCAAAUCGUCAACCAAGCCCGUACAACAACGUAAUGAAAUUUUUCAUGAGAUUUUUGGGUCUUUCCACCCUUUUUAACCCUUAAUUCCAUCACAACAUAACUCCUCAUUCAUCCUUAAAAUAAAAUUUAGGGUUUCUUUCAAGAUCAUUCCUCAAGAACAAGAUUCAAACCCUUCUUAAAGAAACUAAGAAAUUCAAGUUUAAGAACCAUCAGGAAAACAUCAAGAUUUCUGUUUCCCAAUCCAAAAACGUUCAAGAAAUGUUAAUUCUUUUUCAAGAUUAAUUCUUUAAGGUAUGUUAAAUAUUCAUCCAUGGGUCCUUUCCACCCAUGGAGCCCAAGAACCCAACUUCAAAUUCAAACUUGUGAUUUAUACAAGUUAUUGUGAUCUUAACCAUGAAUCCCUAUGAAUUUUGGUUUUAUACCAUAGUUAUAUCAAAUUGUUAUUGUUAUUAAUCCCCACAUAUUUUAAUGGUGUUGUUCACUAAACCUUAAUUGGUAAUUUUAGUAGGGAAAACAUGCUAUUACUACAAGUUUUAAAACUAUUCCCAUACUUAGCUUAAACCAUGAACUACAAGUGUUUGAUGAAAUGCCCACAAGAAAGAGUUUUUAAUAAAUGCUUACAUAUCAUGUCCUCAAAGUUUAAGUACAAUCUUGCUAUUAUUGUUAUCGAGUCCUGGGGGUUUGAAUACCUAAAAUUUAGCUGCUUACCUAGUUUUCAGUAUUUAUAGAUUGGUUACAAAUUAGUUAUGAGCCCUAUCGUUUCAGUCAGUAUUUUAAAUAGUUAAGCAUAGUCAGUCCAAUAUUCUAGUUCUUUCAGUUAUAAGUAGGAUUUAGCACCGAGCGAAUGUCGGGAUGACAGUUUUCCCAUUACUUAGGCAAAGUUGUAGUAGCAGUCCUUGUAUUCCAGAACUAUGUGGCCAGCGUAGGAUAUGUGGAGUCACCCAUCAGUUUAGGCUUGACAUCCUGGUUGUUCAGUAGCUUAGUGGAUCCACGCAUCCAUAUGUUAGUACCUGUGGCAAGGUAUUUCCACCCUUCAAACUGGGGUCACACGUUGGACCCCAAUUUGCAUAUUGACGCAUGUCGGUUAGAUGACAGCUCCUACAGUCUCAGUCCAGUAUUCAGCUCAGUAAUUCAGUUUUAGUUUUACUUGACCAUGGAAUACAAAUAUAAGUCAUUCAUUUAUCAGUAUUUAAUAUUUUAGUUUGUAGAUUAUAUUCAGAACAUAUUUUAUGUUUGGUCAUGCAUUCUCAGUCUUUACAGAUUUUAUACAUUCUAUUCAGUACUUCAUGCUACACAUUCAGUCAGUUAUUACUUGUGCACAUCAGACAUGCGUAUUAGCCUAACCUCAUUUAGCAUACCAAUACAUUCAGAGCAAUGAUCACAUACUAUUUUCUUGUAUUAUGAUAUUUAAUAUCAUAGGUUCAAAUGCUCAGUCCCCUGAUCGUGCAUAGACAUAUGAGAUUAUUAGCUGUAGCAGUGUUGAGUCCUCAUUCUUCAAGGACAUAGUUUAUUUUUCUCAGUUUACAUUAUCAUUUUAAUAUUUUCUAUUUAGUUGGAGUUGGUUAGGGGUUUGUCCCAUCAUCUCCACAGUUAGUCAUUAGAGGCUUUUUAGACUAGUACAAAUAGUUAGUCAGUGUUUUUGUUCUUAUCAUUAGUCAUUUUAUCAGUGUAGUUAGUAUUGUUUUACAGAUAUUAUCAAAAAUGUGUUUUAAAAUCAUAUGGCAUUUUUAGUUAAAUCCUACAUAUGAUCUUUUGAUAGCGGUUAUACUCAGAGCUCAAGAUAGGUACCACUCUCAUGGGUUUGUUUGUGGUCACUUGUGACAGUAGCCACCGUGUGGCAUCCACGGUAUACUCUCGAGGCUUUACAAAAUUGGUAUCAGAGCCUAAGUUUUUAAAGUGUCCUACGGAGUCUACAAGUCAUGUUGAGUAGAGUCUUGUGCUUGGGUGUGAAUCCCCCCACAUAUAUGGACAAUUGUCUACAAGAUAUUUUAGGAAAUGUUUCUCUUUUUUCAGUGUUCAUAUCGUGUGAAAUAGCAUGAUCUCUAUGUAAAAUCUCUUCCUAACUCAUCUAUCCUUUCGUGUAAAGAAAAUGCCUCCCAAAAAGAACAACGAAAGAAGAAAUGGGAAUCAGCCUGCAACUCCAUCUGUUCAGGAUAACCCCCUGAAUGAUGAUGUCUCUAAUGCCAAAUUCAGAGCUGCUUUCACUACCUAUACAUAUUUAGUAGUUGCUCAGAAUAAUCUGAAGGCAAUUCUCCAAUCUAGGCUUUUGAUUCAUGCUCAGUAGAGUGAUGGAGGAGCAUCAGAAGAAAGAGAGAAAGAAUAAAAGGGCCAGAACUAGUAGUUUUAAGCCAAGGUUAGAGGUACUAACCGCUCCCAAUUCUGUAAGAAAUUCUCAUCCCCAGCCUCUCCUUCAGCCAGUGUGCCAAUGUAUAAGCUUAAGAGAAAGGUUGAAAUUGAGCACCAGGCUCUAAGUCACAGGGUAGUGGGGAGGGUGUUCAUACUACUCUGUUUUGUGAAUAAUGUGGCUGAAAUCAUAAAGGUAUAUGUAGAGCCAAUAGUGAUCUGUGUUUUGGGUUAGGAAAUCUUGGCCACAGAGUCAGAGAUUGCCCAAAGAGUAGUCAGUAAGGCUAGUCCAACCAUCCUCUAAUUUUAUCUGUUACCCAGCUCAAUAAGGUGCCACUUCUAGUUCCCCAGUAGUUAACGUCAAAAAAGACUUUAUGAACUCUAGUCCUGACUUUAUCAAGAAAGUUCUCCUGAUGCGGUUAUGGGUAUGUUGCAGGCCUUUCAUAUUCCUAUGUAUGUUUUACUAGACCUAGAGCUUCACUUUCUCUUGUAACCCCCCUAUAUAGCUGUCAACUUUGGUGUACAACCUAAAAUAUUAGCAGCGCCCAUCUCAAUGUCUACUUCAGUGGGUAAAUAUAUCAUUUCCAAGUGAUUAUACAAAAAUUUCCUAGUUACAAUAUCCCAGCAAACCACUUCAGUUGAUUUCAGAAAUAGAGUCCUUCAGUUUUAGUUUCUCGAUGAAUCAGUCAUUUAAUGGAGGGGUAAUACCUCAAUUCAUAGGGAUCAGAUGUGUUUUCAGAGACCUUCUCAAAAUCCUAUAACAGUAGAUAACCUAGAAUUAGAAGCAUGAACCUAGAAGUUUAGUACCAAUAAAGUGGGGACAGUAUUGUCUGAAUUUAGAGGAUUACGUAUCUAUGGGGCUAGUUGUAUGAAAGGUAAAUCAGUAGGCUUAAAAUAGUGUAUGCAAGAAUUUAAGCUAAGUAUUAUGGUGCGGUUGUGCUUAUGUAGUAUCCUUGAGUGCUAAGUUUGAAUGGGGCUAUGAUAUAGUAAUUGAUUUUCUUACCAGCUCCGUUAUGGACUAUAAGUUAUUGAUGUCAGAUGUUCAAGUGCAAUAGUAGUUCUCUUGGUUUAGGGAGAAAUAUUAGUUUAGAGAUGUGAUAAUUAUAGGAUAUUAUUAAUGUAGUAUGGUUAUUAAAUAUUUUGGGAUAUCAAUAUUAUGUGUUAGAAUCUAAGUUUGAAUCUUUAAAGGUUGAACUAAUACAAAGAGGAGUUGAAAUUCUAAGUUGGUCAAUUUUAAGUUGUUACAUGAUGAAUGCUAGGGCUAUAGAAAGCUAAGAGUUAUAUCUUAGAAGAAAGUACUAGCAGUAAAUCUUAUAUUGUCGAGCAUAGUCAUUGAUGGUGAGUUUACCAAUUAUGCGUAUUAUUACAUCCCAGAUUCUAGAGUAAGGUGGUGGUAGUUCAGUUUAGAAAUAUUGAUUAAAUUGCUCCAAGAUUUAGAAUGAUAACUUUAAGCUAAGGGGGAUAUGAUAGAACAAUUAACCAAGUUAGGCUCUCAAAUUCUAGUAGUGAUAGCAGAGUGUUUAUAAUAAUAGUAGGAAAGAUGAUGCCCGACCCAUACUUAUUUUAGUAUUUGUAUUUUAGUUAUCACGAUAUCUACUCAUGCCUUACUUGUCAGCUCUAUGACCAUAGCUUAUAUCUGUGCACUUUAUAGAAAAUCAUAUACUCUCCCAGUCCCUGGUUUGAUAAGUUCCAAUUCACCCAACAGUACGAAUUAUGUUCUAUCAAUUCAGAAACUCCAAACUCAGGUCAUGGUGCUCAUGACUCAUGUAUUCAUGUUUUAGAGUGUACUCAGUUUCCAUGACUCAUGCUACACUCUUAAUGAUCAGCGAAAUACAGAUUUGUGUCACGUAUAUCCUCAGUUUAGACCUCUUUAAUGAAUUCAUGUCAUUUAUACUCAAUUCCUCAGGCUACAAUUAAGUGUCCAAGUUAUGCAUGGUAUUUCUUCCAUGCUUCAGGAUCUCAUGUUCUAACUUUUCAGUGACCUUUCUUUAUGAAAUGAUGGUGAUGAUGAGUAAUUUGUUUAGAUGUGAGAAAGUAAUUGUUUCAAUUUAUGAAAAGAAUGUUGCAUGCUUGUUUUACAUGAGGCGGUAGUAAUGAAGAUUGGCUUAAACAUCAUGUUGGUGCGUAAGUGGAUAUAUGCAUUAUGUGUUAGUGUAUGGCAAGUAAAAAGUUGUAUUUAGUUGUUAAUAGGGUAAUCAAAAUUAUUAAGGAGAUGGGAAGUUAUGAAAAUGCAUAGUGUAUUAAAUUUAUGACUCAGACUAGUAUUACAGUAUUAUGUGUGCAUUGUAUACAUUUGAGUUGGCUUGAACAUAGUGGAAGAAUUCAGUCCAGCUCAGACCUCAGUAGGUAGAUUUAUCGUGUCCAUAUGAAUAUUUUUUAGUAGCCUCAAGUGAAGUGCGGUGUUAAAGUAGAAAGUAUAGUUAAGGAAGUAGUUACGAAAUGUGGCUAAGAUUGUAAGUUAGUAGUUGUAUUGCAUAAGGCUUAGUAACUCUAUCCUAGCUGAUGUUUCAUAGGCCUUCGUUCAUAUUACAGAAUUUUAGCCAUGUUGUGAUUUCUUAUUCAGAUGUAUUAUUCAGAUGUCUUAUUCAGACCAUGCCAAGAUUUUCCACUCCUUAAUGUCAUUAGAACUUCAUGGAAAGAAUAUCGAAUAAAUACUCUAGUUAAGUAUAAUCUUUCAGUACGAGUUAGUUUGUAUAGCCAGUAAUUUGGUUUAGCAAUUAGGCAGACAAAUUCCUAUGGUUUUCAUCUCUCUUAUUCAGGAGGAAAUUCUUUCACGUCCAUACAAGUCAUAACUUUAGCUCAGUUCCUGCAUCGGGCAUUAGUUUUAGAUUCCAGAUAUUCAGUCAAGAUUCUUGUGUAUCAUCUUAGUAUUUCCUUAGUAUUUUAGCCAUGUCAGUGUCUUUUGGGGGGACAUAAUAUCCCAAGGGGGAGUGUAAUAUAAUCCCCCAAGAUUCCAUGUCCUAAACCUUCCAUUUUCUCUUCACGUAACAAGAUCUAGAUUAAAGUAAUGGGUACUCUUAUGUUGACUAUCAUUCCAAUCUCAGCCUUAUAACCAUUCUCAUGCCAUUGCAUGUAUUCAAGGAUAUCAAUUUAGUUCAUGAUAUUCAGUUCUUGAAUCACAUUUCGGACCUAGUUAUGUUCUCAUGUUCCCAAUCAUACAUGUUCAGUGUAUGAUCUCAAAUACUUAAAUACUAUCAGCUAAACCAGCCUCAUUUGAGGAUGAAUGUUUCCAAAGGGGAGAUAUUGUAAUAACCCAAAAAUUCAAAACAAUAUUAGAACCAUGCUUCAAGAUUAUGCCAAAUAAAUUAUAGUGAUUUGGUAUUUUAUUGAGUGAGUUUUAUGUGUAUUAAGGCCUCAAAUAACUCCUAGUUAUUAGACGAAUCAAAAUAUCCCUUAUCGAUUGAGUUCUUGAGAAGGUUGUUGCUAUAGUCAACUUCAAAUGAGCAUAUCAUUCGUUUUACUAAGAAUUUUUGAUCUUAUGACCCACCAACAAGUAUUUAAUUGAAUUAUAUUUCAAAUUAUAGCUAUUUUUCUUUAAUUUAAUAUCGGGGUAAAACAUUAUGCCCAUUUUACCAGAGAGUUGUCCGACUUCCGAAAUGCGACGGCCAGGUUGACGGACUGUCAAGACACUGAUGGACCAUCAAGCCAGGCCGUUAACUUUAGGUAGUGAGCUUAUUUUUGGGCCAUAAAUUAACGGAUUGAAAGACGAUCAGUCACCAGAGUGACGGUCCAUCAACCAAGCCUGCGGUCCAUCAACCAAGCCUGUUAAACAACGUAAUGAUGUUUUUAAUGAGCUUUUUGGGUCUUUUCCACCCUUUUUAAUCCCCAAUUCCAUCACCUUAAACAACAUAAAUCCUCAUUCAUCCUUAAAAUUAAAAUCUGGGUUACUUUGAAGAUCAUUCACCAAGAACAAGAUUCAAACACUUCUUCAAGAAACUAAGAAAUUCAAGUUCUUCAAGCUCUAGAACAAUCUAGAAAACAUCAAGCUUUUUGUUUCCCAAUCCAAGAACAUUCAAGAAACAUUAAUUCUCUUUUAAGAUUAAUGCUUUAAGGUAUGUCAAAUGUUCAUCCAUGGGUCAUUUCCAACCAUGGAGCCGAAGAACCCAACUUUAAAUUCAAAGUUGUGAUUUUUACAAGUUAUUGUGAUUUUAACCAUGAAUCCCCAUGAAUUUUUAUUUUAUUCCAAGUUUACAUGAAAUUAUAAUUGUUAUUAAUCCCCACACAUUUAAAUGGUGUUGUUCACUGAAUUAAACCUUAAUUGGUGAUUUUAGUAGGGAAAUCAUGCUAUUACAAUAAGCUUUAAAACUAUUCUCAUACUUAGCUUAAACCAUGAAUUACAAGUGUUCGAUGAAAUACCCAUAAGAAGGAGUUUUGAAUAAAUACUUACAUAUCAUGUCCUCAAAGUUUUAGUAAAAUCUUUCUAUUAUUGUAGAGUCCUUGGGGUUUGAAUACCCAACAUUUUGCUACUUACCUAGUUUUCAGUAUUUAUAGAAUGGUUACAAAAUAGUUACGAGCCCUAUCAUUUCAGUUAAUAUUUUCAAUAGUUAAGCAUAGUCAGUCCAACAUUUUAGGUCUUUCAGUUGGGAGUAGGAUUUAGCACUGAGCAAAUAUAGGGAUGACGGCUUCCCCGUCAGUUAGGUGGAGUCGUUAAUAGCAGUCCUUGAUUCCAAAACUACAUAGCCAGCGUAGCAUAUUGGCAGUCACCCAUCAGUUUAGGCUUGACAUUUUAGUUGUUUAGUAGCUUAGUGGAUUCACGCAUCCAUGUGUUCAGUAGCUUAGGAAUAUGCCUUGAAGUUUCAUCAAUUUUAAAGGUAUGCUCCUGAUUUAGUGGUUGACAUACGGGCAAGGAGGAGGAAAUUUACUUCUGGGUUGAAUCAGGAUUGGAUUUUUAAACCAAGACUUCCUUGUUGAUUAAAUAUAUAGAUAUCUCUAGGUUGACUAUUCAUAUGCAGUAGGUAGAGAAUAAGAAAAGGAAAUAGGCAGAGUUUAGAUAUAGGCAGAGUAAGUGGAACAGGUUUUUUGACUAGGGUGGUGCUCAGUUUUAGGGUGGUCGGGAUGGUGGAAAAUGGCAGAAAAAUAAGUGGGGGAGUUCUGGUUCCUACUCUUCUGCUAGUAAUCCUUAGGCAUCAUCAGGGUGGUGACAAUUUUUGGGUGUAGGGUGCCCAAUCUCAUGCAAAUAGAGGUCAGUCAGUUUCUUUAUUCCCUUCUUAUCGGUUUUAUGGUCAUCCUCAUCGGGGUUAUUAUGAUAAAGGAAAGGACAAAUUCUUCAAAUAUAGACAGGUAGGACAGUUAAUAAGGUUGCUAUAGGGGCGAAUAAGAUUCCUAUGGCUUCAUCUUCUGGUCCUACACCUGGUAGUGUUGCAUCUACUUCUAUUACUCUUCCUCAUUCUAGUGUUAGUCGAAAUAGGUUGUAUGCUUUGGCGACUUGAUAGGAAUCUAAGGGAUCACCUAAUGUCAUUACUACUACGUUACAACUUUUCUCUUAUGAAGUAUAUUAUUUUCUUGAUUUGGGGUCCAGUUUUUCCUAUGUGACUCCUUAUGCUGGUGUAUCUUUUGGUUUCAACCAAAAGUUAUUUCAAAUCCCUUUUUUGUUUCUACCCUAGUAGGUGUCACGCCCCAAAAUCCCAUCGGGCCGGACUGGCACCCGAAGCCGAGAAGGCCCGGGAGAACCCGUUCAAAUACCUGUACUUUCACUUACAUGUCACCAAAAAAAUUGGACAGCACUUCGUUGCAUAUAGAAAGGUCUAAUUACCUGUAUCAGCACAACACGCACAAAUAUAUAUAUAUAAUACUUGGCCGUCGGGGCCACCACAUAUACAAAUAUAACGUUACUAUAUAAACUUCCAUGACUUUACCCUUCCUUAUGUCUACAAAGCCUCUAGGAUAUACAUGACAUAACUAGGGUCGGGACAAACCCCCGCCCACACGUGACUCAUGUACAAUAACAAAACAUAAGGAACCGACUCGGAAAGCUCCGAAGCAAACUGGAGCUCACCAACAAUAGCUGUAUGACCUGGCUCCUACUUGUGCGGUGUAUGAGUUGAGGUACCUGUGCCUGCAGCAUGAAAUGCAGGUCCCCCGUGAGGGACGUCAGUACGAAAUAUGUACUGAGUAUGUAAAGCUGUAAAUAAUCACAUAUGAUAUAGGAGCUCAAUAGAAAUCAGAAACAAGUGAAUAAGUCGUAAUAGGAGUGGACCACACUUACUAGAACUUGUGACAACCUGUACAUUGUAUUUAUUCAAUCACUUUACCUUCGUUCUUAUCGUCUUUGUAAUCAUUACUGUACUGUACUGUGACCAUUAGGAUGCCUCCAGUACAUAUCAACUGGGAUCGACCCAUGCUAGGCUUAUGCCCCUGGGAUACCACCCAUAAACACAUGAAAUAGGGAUCGACCCAUGCUAGGCUUAUGCCCCUGGGAUACCACCCGAUAAGAGAGAACUUUCAUCACUUAGUUCAAUUAAUCUUUGAGAUUGUUAUUUCGGUCGUCACCACAUUUUUGAUACCUUGAAACAAUGAUACAUCAAUAGGAACCAAGUAAUAGACCUUCUAUACAAUAACGAUGUAAUAAGGACUCAUUGGUACAUCAACAAUAUGUUUCAGAAUCAUCAAUAUCACAACAAUGAAAUAAGAGCCUUUUGGUAUAUCAAUGAACAUUUUGACACUUUAUAGGAUGGAAACAACUUCGUUGGUAACGUAGAACAAUACAUGUUUUUGGACAACCUCGGAAUCUUACUUGAUGGAACAUUGGUGUUUUCAUGCCAAAGAACAUUGUUAGAGUAUGCUUUACAUACCUCGUUGUAGAUUCAGCUACCAAUUCAACACAACUUCCCGCCUUUACAAAUCACUUAUCUACAAUGAAAUGUUUGGCAUCUAGUAUUAGCAACCCAACACCACAAUUCUCUUCCAUAAUUCCAUACUACCAAUAUUUGCAAAACAUUCCAAAAACCAACUUGAACAAUAGGUUUAUGUGUGUAUAUGUAUAUAAUCAUCAUCUCAAUACCACAUCAUCAAUACCACAUCAUCACCCCAAAUUCCUUCACAAUUUAACAUAAUCCAACCAUGCACAAGAAUAAUCCAACAUCAUUUCCAAUCAUCUUUCAACAACAAUCAAAUAACAUACUUCUUAUGCUCACAUGCAUAUAUAUAUAUAUAUACAUAUCCAUAUAAAUAACACCAACAUAAUUUACAUCCUUACCAAAAAAAAUGGCCCUUUUGAUUUCGAAGUCCUGUUGGCACAAAUAAGGGGUGCUUCUCGAAGCCCUUGAGACGGUGAACACAACUACGGAAUCAAUUUGGAUUUUCUACGGUUGAAUCACAAGAUAAUUGGAGUUGAACUUAGGCUAGGGUUUCUUAUUCUUCAAUGAUUUGGAUGAUAAAUGGUGGAUAUAAGGCUAAGUAUAUGUAUAUAAUGACCAAUUUUCGUCCAUGAGGUGAUGGAAAAUGACCAUAUUGCCCUUAAAAAUUUAAGUAAAUCCGAAUCUGUCCAUGGUGGACUGUUUUGAUAGGCUAAAGUAAAUCGGCCAUAACUCUUUGCUCCGAUAUCGGAUUUGGGUGAAAUUGGUAUCGUUAGAAAGAUAAUUCAAAGGUAUUUCAUUUAAUAUAAAUUAAUCCACCCAGUUCGUCCUGUACAAGUAGUUAUGAUCGUUUGAAGUUGACCCUAAAAAUCUGUUUUGAGAGGCUGAAGUAAAACGAGUAUAACUCCUUACUCAGAUGUUGGAUUUGGAUGAAACCAAUUUCAUUGGAAAGAAGACUCAAAGAUCUUUCUUUUGAUAUAUGGUAGCUCAACCAGUUCAUUAUAUUGAGGGAGUUAUGAUCGUUCAAAGUUGACCCAAAAAACUGGCAGGCCUCAGUAGUUUCCUGCACAUUUUACUGUUCACAUCCCGGCCACCGUUUUAAAGUUUCGAACGAGCUCGCUUAUAUCCGAAACUUAUCCGUUUUUGGAAAUCUUUAUAUCGUUGGAAAGCUUAUUCAAUAACCUUCGUAUGGAACCAUCGACGGGAAAAUUCCGAUAUAAAUAAAGUCGAUUCCUAUACACCUAUAAUCAAACUAUACACUUGAAACCAUCUCAAAAUAAUCAAUACUCAUACUUAAACUCAUAUAUACCUAACUUAGGAUCAAUACAUAUACCCCAACACAUAUAACAAUGACUAAUGCACGUAAUUAAGUACGGGGUGUUACAUCCUUCCCCCCUUAAGGACAUUCGUCCUCGAAUGUGAAUGUAGUUAUUUAGCCGAAACAAGUUCAAGUCCACCAUUAACAUUCACAUCAUCACAUAAAUACUAUGCAUAUAUAAACAAAAACUUACUUGUUAAUGUUCUAACUCCGUUUCUUGAACUUCCUCUUCAUCUUUGAACAAAUGAGGGUACUUAGAUUUCAUUGCUUCCUCAGCUUCCCAUGUAAUCUCUUCCCUUUGUUGAUUUCUCCAAAGUACCUUUACUGAUGCCAUUUCUUUGUUCCUUAACUUUUUAACUUGGCGAUCUAGAAUAGCAACCGGUACCUCUUCAUAAGUAAGAUCCUCUGUGACCUGUACAUCUUCUAUAGGAGUGAUACGAGAGGGGUCACCUAUGCAUUUUCGAAGCAUUGACACAUGAAACACUGGAUGAACCAUUGAAAGUUCCUGGGGUAGCUCUAAUUCAUAUGCAACUUGUCCGACCCUCUUGGUAAUCUUAUAUGGCCCUAUGUAACGUGGGCUUAGUUUCCCUUUUUUACCAAAUCUCAUAACCCCUUUCAUUGGUGAUACCUUUAAAAAUACCCAAUCUCCAAUAGAGAAUUCCAGCCCUCUUCUCCGAAUAUCUGCAUAUGAUUUAUGACGACUUUGGGCUGUUUUUAGCCGUUGUUGUAUCACCUUGACUUUUUCUAUGGCUUGAUACACAAGAUCCGGUCCGAACAUAAGAGUUUCACCCGCUUCGAACCAUCCUAUUGGUGAUCUACACUUUCUCCCAUAUAAAGCUUCAUAUGGUGCCAUUUUGAUACUUGAAUGAUAGCUAUUAUUGUAGGCAAACUCAAUAAGAGGUAAAUGAUCAUCCCAGCUGCCUUUAAAAUCUAUAACACAUGCUCGUAGCAUAUCUUCAAGUGUUUGAAUGGUGCGCUCUGCUUGUCCAUCCGUCUGAGGGUGAAAAGCUGUACUCAGAUUCACUUGUGUUCCCAAACCCCGUUGGAAAGACUUCCAAAAGUUUGCAGUAAAUUGAGUUCCCCGAUCCGAUAUAAUAGAAGUUGGCACUCCAUGUAAUCGGACUAUUUCUUUAACAUACAGCUUCGAAUAUUCUUCAACUGUGUAAGUGGUCUUAACGGGUAAGAAAUGUGCGGAUUUAGUAAGCCUAUCCACAAUCACCCAUAUAGAAUCAAAUUUUCGAGCUGUACGAGGCAAACCUGUAACAAAAUCCAUGUUGAUCAUGUCCCACUUCCAAAUUGGAAGAUCUAUGCAUUGCAUAUAGCCUCCGGGUUUUUGGUGCUCAACUUUAACUCUUUGACAAUUUGGACAUUCAGCUACAAAUUCUGCAAUGCUCUUCUUCAUGUCAUUCCACCAAUACAUAUCUUUCAAAUCUUGAUACAUUUUGGUUGAUCCUGGAUGAAUGGAAUACCUUGAAAAAUGUGCCUCUGUCAUAAUCUUCUUUCUUAGCCCGUCUAUAUCCGGCACACACAAUCGGUUUUGGCACUGAAGUACUCCUUCUCGCGUAAGCUCAAAUGCCUUGGUCGCACCACUCUGAACGUUCUCCUUAAGAUGUAAUAAAAUAGGAUCUGCAUAUUGCUUCUCUUUCACUUCAGCUACUAAUGAAGAUUCCGCAGCAUUAUGUACGAUAAGCUCUUUAUUCGGAGUUUCAAGAAGGCGAACUCCCAAACUAGCUAACUGGUGAAGAUCUUUAACCAUCCCUUGCCUUUCUAUAGGCGCCAUCAUAGCCUUACGACUUAACGCAUCAGCUACCACAUUUGCUUUCCCUGGAUGGUACAAGAUAUCAACAUCAUAGUCCUUUAAUAGUUCAAGCCAUCUCCGCUGCCUUAAAUUUAGAUCCUUCUGAUUAAAAAUAUAUUGCAAGCUCUUAUGGUCAGUAUAUAUAUCAACGUGAACCCCAUAUAAGUAGUGGCGCCAUAUCUUUAAAGCAAAAAUAACCGCUGCCAGCUCAAGAUCGUGUGUAGGAUAAUUUUUCUCAUGUGGCCGUAAUUGUCUAGAAGCAUAUGCUAUUACCUUACCAUGCUGCAUCAAUACACAUCCUAAACCAAUUCUGGAAGCAUCACAAUACACUGUAUACCCUUCGGUGCCUUCUGGUAGUACCAACACGGGUGUAGAAAUCAACUUGUUCUUUAAAUCUUGAAAACUCUUCUCACAGGCAUCAUUCCAUUGGAAUUUGGAUGCUUUAUGGGUUAGCUUGGUUAAGGGUGCUGAAAUGGAAGAAAAGUCUUUGACAAACCUUCUAUAAUAACCGGCCAACCCAAGAAAACUACGAAUCUCCGUAGGCGUUGUGGGCCUUGGCCAGUUCUUCACAGCCUCUAUCUUUUGAGCAUCAACCUUUAUCCCUUCACUAGAUACAAUAUGACCCAAAAAUGCCACCGACUUUAACCAAAACUCACAUUUAGAGAACUUUGCAUAAAGCUUACAAUCACGAAGAGUCUGCAAUGCCUGUCGUAAGUGAUUGGCAUGGUCCUCUUCUGAUCUAGAAUAAACUAGAAUAUCAUCUAUAAAAACUAUCACAAAUACAUCCAGGAAUGGCUUAAAAACCCUAUUCAUCAAAUCCAUAAAAGCUGCGGGUGCAUUUGUUAGCCCAAAUGACAUAACUAGAAACUCAUAAUGACCAUACCUUGUUCGGAAAGCUGUUUUGGGUAUAUCUUUUUCUUUGACCCUCACUUGGUGGUAACCUGACCUCAAAUCAAUCUUAGAAAAGCACUUGGCGCCCUGUAACUGAUCAAAUAAAUCAUCAAUUCUUGGGAGAGGAUAUUUAUUCUUAAUAGUCACCUUAUUCAAUUGCCGAUAAUCAAUACACAUCCUCAGCGAGCCAUCCUUUUUGCGUACAAAUAACACUGGUGCUCCCCAAGGGGAAAUACUAGGCCUAAUGAACCCCUUUUCUAGCAAAUCUUUCAAUUGCUCUUUCAAUUCUCGUAAUUCUGCUGGGGCCAUUCUAUACGGAGGAAUGGAGAUUGGUUGGGUGCCUGGUAUUACAUCAAUACCAAACUCUACUUCUCGUUCAGGAGGCAAACCUGGAAGAUCUUCAGGAAAUACAUCAGAAAAUUCAUUUACCACCGGAACAGCGUGAAGAGUUGGUGGCUCCGCUUCUGUAUCCCUUACUCUAGAAAGAAACCCAUGAAUGAACAUCCACAUACCUUAAUAGAUGAUUUCUUGAAGAUUUCUUGAGGGUUUCUUGAAUUUGAAGCUUGAGUUCCUUGGUUUUUUAGGGAGAAAAAAAUUGAAAUUGGUGAUUUUGAGAAAGUGGGAAGGGUUUUCUUGAGAUGGAUUUAGAGAAGAAGGGCAAAUAAUGCUCUAAAUGAUGUCUCAAUUCGUGUUAUGCAUGAUUUGGGUUGAGGGGAACAGACACAAUUUCCCCUCAGGCAAUUAAAUUCAUAACUGGGCAUAACAUACUUACCGCAACGCGGUCUAAUUGAAGUCAUCCAUUUCCCUUACCGCAACGCAGUGAGCAUGCAAAUGGAAAUAUUAAAGCGACGCAGCCGUAUCGCAGUGACUUUCUGGAUUUGUGAUCCAAACAUGACCGAAACCUCAUUCAAAAAAUUUGAAACUUCUCUAAGACAUGCUCCUUACAUCCCUGAAUAUGAAUUAACUCAAAAACCAACACCUUAGGAUCGGGAAGACCAAUCGAAAAAUCCUCGAAGUUAAGAGGACUUAUAAAUGACUAAUUCCCCAACACUUAGUGAAAUUUUUAGGCCUUAAGCCCCUUAUGCAUACAACUAGAAGAUGAACUGACCUAAUAAUAAUAUGGGGUAUUAUAGAAGUGCUGAAAGAAAGACUUAAUCAAAUAAUAAUUAAGCUAAGAAAAAUAGAGAACUUAAUCAAAUGGACGAGAAACCAGAUUGAAUCCAUAAUAUGAUAACUUAAUGAUAAAUCAAGUGAAGAAGAUAACACAAACAAUUUAGAAAGACACCCUAAUCACUCAAUCUAAGCUAACAAUUGAAAUUGAACCCAAUUACUGCCCUAAUAUCGAAUAACUAAAUAUCAAUUCUAUUCAAGACAAUUCACUUUUCCAAAUCUAAGUGAUGAAAAUGGAUAAAGAAACUAUUUAUAGUCAGUGCCUUUACAGAAAAAGUCUAUUACAAAAAUCUCCCUAAUGUGACCAUUUUACAAAUAACUCACAAGGGACCUUCUUAAUUGGCCAAAUGGCAUCUUGAUUGCCAAUGACCUUAUGUAUCUAUUUCUUCAUGCCUUCCUUCAAACUCCAAGAUAUCAUCCAUACAUGGAAGACCCUCCUAAUAUGUUCCAAGCUAAUCAUGAUCCACUUCAUCAAAAGAAUUCAUCCACGAAUCCAAACUUUUUUAAAAAAUGAGAAGGAAAAACAACAAACAUAUCAUCGUAGCAUGAGGUUUAACACAAGGAUUAUCAAUAACAAAUUUAUGGCCAUGCCAAGGGUGUACACAUUUAACAUAUAACCAAGCAAAAAAAUGAGUCAUAAAUGGUUUGUCACCCAACAAAAAUUGAUAUACUUGGCUACAUAGGAAACAUUGACAAAGGGGCAAAUCAAAAGAACCAUGGUGUUUAGGCAACCACUGAUACAAGUCCUCAAUGGUUCUAAAUUUAGAAAAAAAAAUCUCCCUUUAAGUCAUGUAACACAUGAUAACCCAUAUAACUAUGUUUCAUGUCAUAAAUGAGGUCAUUCCAAGUCAAUACUCUAUCCAAUGCACUAACUAUCUUAAAGAAUAGAAUUACUCCUAAUUCAUCAUUGGAGAUUAAAUACGAAGGUAUUCUCUACAUAAUUUGGCAAAUAUAUCUUAUUAAACAUAUAAGAUCAAGUAAUAACACCAAGCAAUAAUCAUAUGAGAGAAAAAAUAUGUUACUACUAUACUUACCACCACGCAAGCCAACAACCUCACCCACAACUUUCUUGUCAUUUGAACCAAGUAUUUUAUCACAAACGCCACUAUUCAAAUCAUUACCAGGACAAAAGGAAAAGGCAAUCCAUAAACAUGGGUAAAAUCAUACACCUAUUUGCCCCAUUGACACUCUACUCUCACAUAACAUACUCCACUCAAAGGAAAGAGUAUCAUCAUAUGCAAAAAAAGUGGUAUAGAAAGGUGUUACUUAAAUAAAGUUUAUUUAAGGUGUGCCCACAUAUAGAAUCACCCUUUGAUCUACAAGCAUUAAGCCCUUGAUCAAGCAUGGGUUCACACAAGAAUGAAUAGGUCAUUGGAGAACAUACACCCCCUUCUUUUGGACCACUAACCCCUCCAAUUGACAAACUAUCAUCUUUUAAGAAGAGAGUUUUGUCUUUAAAAAAUGUGUCAUCAUACCAUAGUGGAUUUUUGAUCACUUGUGUCACGCCCCAAAAUCCCAUCGGGCCGGACUGGCACCCGAAGCCGAGAAGGCCCGGGAGAACCCGUUCAAAUACCUGUACUUUCACUUACAUGUCACCAAAAAAAUUGGACAGCACUUCGUUGCAUAUAGAAAGGUCUAAUUACCUGUAUCAGCACAACACGCACAAAUAUAUAUAUAUAAUACUUGGCCGUCGGGGCCACCACAUAUACAAAUAUAACGUUACUAUAUAAACUUCCAUGACUUUACCCUUCCUUAUGUCUACAAAGCCUCUAGGAUAUACAUGACAUAACUAGGGUCGGGACAAACCCCCGCCCACACGUGACUCAUGUACAAUAACAAAACAUAAGGAACCGACUCGGAAAGCUCCGAAGCAAACUGGAGCUCACCAACAAUAGCUGUAUGACCUGGCUCCUACUUGUGCGGUGUAUGAGUUGAGGUACCUGUGCCUGCAGCAUGAAAUGCAGGUCCCCCGUGAGGGACGUCAGUACGAAAUAUGUACUGAGUAUGUAAAGCUGUAAAUAAUCACAUAUGAUAUAGGAGCUCAAUAGAAAUCAGAAACAAGUGAAUAAGUCGUAAUAGGAGUGGACCACACUUACUAGAACUUGUGACAACCUGUACAUUGUAUUUAUUCAAUCACUUUACCUUCGUUCUUAUCGUCUUUGUAAUCAUUACUGUACUGUACUGUGACCAUUAGGAUGCCUCCAGUACAUAUCAACUGGGAUCGACCCAUGCUAGGCUUAUGCCCCUGGGAUACCACCCAUAAACACAUGAAAUAGGGAUCGACCCAUGCUAGGCUUAUGCCCCUGGGAUACCACCCGAUAAGAGAGAACUUUCAUCACUUAGUUCAAUUAAUCUUUGAGAUUGUUAUUUCGGUCGUCACCACAUUUUUGAUACCUUGAAACAAUGAUACAUCAAUAGGAACCAAGUAAUAGACCUUCUAUACAAUAACGAUGUAAUAAGGACUCAUUGGUACAUCAACAAUAUGUUUCAGAAUCAUCAAUAUCACAACAAUGAAAUAAGAGCCUUUUGGUAUAUCAAUGAACAUUUUGACACUUUAUAGGAUGGAAACAACUUCGUUGGUAACGUAGAACAAUACAUGUUUUUGGACAACCUCGGAAUCUUACUUGAUGGAACAUUGGUGUUUUCAUGCCAAAGAACAUUGUUAGAGUAUGCUUUACAUACCUCGUUGUAGAUUCAGAUACCAAUUCAACACAACUUCCCGCCUUUACAAAUCACUUAUCUACAAUGAAAUGUUUGGCAUCUAGUAUUAGCAACCCAACACCACAAUUCUCUUCCAUAAUUCCAUACUACCAAUAUUUGCAAAACAUUCCAAAAACCAACUUGAACAAUAGGUUUAUGUGUGUAUAUGUAUAUAAUCAUCAUCUCAAUACCACAUCAUCAAUACCACAUCAUCACCCCAAAUUCCUUCACAAUUUAACAUAAUCCAACCAUGCACAAGAAUAAUCCAACAUCAUUUCCAAUCAUCUUUCAACAACAAUCAAAUAACAUACUUCUUAUGCUCACAUGCAUAUAUAUAUAUAUAUACAUAUCCAUAUAAAUAACACCAACAUAAUUUACAUCCUUACCAAAAAAAAUGGCCCUUUUGAUUUCGAAGUCCUGUUGGCACAAAUAAGGGGUGCUUCUCGAAGCCCUUGAGACGGUGAACACAACUACGGAAUCAAUUUGGAUUUUCUACGGUUGAAUCACAAGAUAAUUGGAGUUGAACUUAGGCUAGGGUUUCUUAUUCUUCAAUGAUUUGGAUGAUAAAUGGUGGAUAUAAGGCUAAGUAUAUGUAUAUAAUGACCAAUUUUCGUCCAUGAGGUGAUGGAAAAUGACCAUAUUGCCCUUAAAAAUUUAAGUAAAUCCGAAUCUGUCCAUGGUGGACUGUUUUGAUAGGCUAAAGUAAAUCGGCCAUAACUCUUUGCUCCGAUAUCGGAUUUGGGUGAAAUUGGUAUCGUUAGAAAGAUAAUUCAAAGGUCUUUCAUUUAAUAUAAAUUAAUCCACCCAGUUCGUCCUGUACAAGUAGUUAUGAUCGUUUGAAGUUGACCCUAAAAAUCUGUUUUGAGAGGCUGAAGUAAAACGAGUAUAACUCCUUACUCAGAUGUUGGAUUUGGAUGAAACCAAUUUCAUUGGAAAGAAGACUCAAAGAUCUUUCUUUUGAUAUAUGGUAGCUCAACCAGUUCAUUAUAUUGAGGGAGUUAUGAUCGUUCAAAGUUGACCCAAAAAACUGGCAGGCCUCAGUAGUUUCCUGCACAUUUUACUGUUCACAUCCCGGCCACCGUUUUAAAGUUUCGAACGAGCUCGCUUAUAUCCGAAACUUAUCCGUUUUUGGAAAUCUUUAUAUCGUUGGAAAGCUUAUUCAAUAACCUUCGUAUGGAACCAUCGACGGGAAAAUUCCGAUAUAAAUAAAGUCGAUUCCUAUACACCUAUAAUCAAACUAUACACUUGAAACCAUCUCAAAAUAAUCAAUACUCAUACUUAAACUCAUAUAUACCUAACUUAGGAUCAAUACAUAUACCCCAACACAUAUAACAAUGACUAAUGCACGUAAUUAAGUACGGGGUGUUACAGUAGGUAACUCAGUUAUUGCUAAGAAAGUCUAUAGGGGGUUUGUGGUAUCUGUUGGUGGCAAGCAAACCUUGGUGGAUCUAUUUAAGUUGGAUAUAGUGGAUUUUUAUGUCAUUCUGGGUAUGGGUUGGCUGCACUCUUUUUACACAUCCUUGGAUUGUUAGACCCAUAAAGUUAUCUUUAGGUUCCCUGGUGAACCGGUUAUAGAGUGGGAGGUUAUUUCUUUAUCUCCCAGGGGGAGUUUUAUUUGUUAUCUAAGAGCUCGGAGGUUAAUCUCUAAAGGUUGUUUUUAUGACAUAGUCUGGGUUAAGGAUUCUAACUCGAAAGGUCCUUCUGUCCAGUUAUUUCCAGCUAUUAAUGAGUUUCUAGAGGUAUUUUUGGAUGAUCUUCUUGGUGUUUCUUCAAAUAAGGAAAUAGAGUUUGGUAUUGAUUUAAUUUUGGAUACUCGUCUAAUUUCUAUUCCUCUAUAUAGAAUGGCUCUGGAUGAGUUAAGGUAACUCAAGGAGCAACUUAAGGAUUUUAUGGAUAAGGGGUUUAUUCAUCCUAGUGUAUCUCCUUGGGGUGCACCGGUGUUUGUGUACAAGAAAGAUGGUUCCCUUCAGCUGUGCAUUGACUUUAGGUAGUUGAACAAGGUGACGGUCAAGAACAAGUAUCCUGUUUAAGGAUAUAUGAUCUAUUUUACCAGUUGUAAUGUGCCAAGUUCUUUUCCAUGAUACAUCUUCGAUCAGGGUACCAUCAUGUAAUACCCCGUAUUUUUGUAUUGGAAUUCUAACCAUCGUUCCUAAGCGUCUAAGCUCUAAUCCAAGUGAUUCUCACAUGAAUACAAGUUGCAUGAUCAUUAUCUUAGUCUAUGGAGUAGUUUAGAGGUGAAAAAUAUUCAUAGCAAUGACCUAGAACAAAGCUGAGCUAAGACCAAUUGAUUCAUCCAAAGUUUGACAUUCAAUUCUACAAGGGUCAACUUCAAACUUGAAUAUCUCUUAAUAUACAUGGAAUUUAUCAUCCCAAGACCUAUCAAGUUGUAGAUAAUUGAAUUAGCUUUCCAAUGAUACUAAUUUCAUCAAAAUUUGACACCCGAGCAAGGAGUUAUGGCUUUGCAAAGCAGAGUGCGUUGCCUAACCAAUCGCACGUGGCUACUGGAAUAGGUGUGCGAUAAACAAUGUGGCGCAUACUUAAAUGUGUGCGAUAAUCAAUGCGGUGCAUACUUAAAUAUGUGCGAUAAUCAAUGCGGUGCAUAUUUAAAUGUGUGCGAUAAAUAAUGUAGCGCAUACUUAAAUGUGUGCGAUAAGCAAUGCGCCGCAUACCUCACUUCCAAGUGCCAAAAACACCCCUAUAUAUGUCUAUAACACGGGAUUAAAAUCUCAUAACACCAAAAUAAGUUUACUUUCUCUCAAAAUCACCAAGAACAUUCAUUAGGGUUUCAACCUAAAAAUUCAAAUAUUUCAAGAUUCAACCAUGAGUUUUCAAUAAGUCUUUGAGAUUCGGAAUCCCCAUUCCGAGGGAUACAAGAAACACUCAUUAUUUUCACGAAUAGAGUCCCAAGGUCAAGAUUUCAUUCAAAGCUUUAAUUGUAAGGUAUGUGGGGUUUUUCAACAAGAACAUUCUUUCGUUCUUGUGCCCAAAAUUUGUAUUAUUUUACAAAGAUAUAGAUUUUACAUGCUUUGAUAUGAAUUUGAGAUAGAAACUAUUAUCCUACGUUCUUGUUCAAAAUACUAUUAUAUUUUUAUGAUGUCUUGAAGAUAAAUUCCUUGAGUUUUGAUAUUAAUAUCAUGUUUGAAGUUGAAUCUCCAGAUUUUCAUAUGAAUUAUACAUGUUUGCUACAUAAAGUGUGAAUCUUGAAAUAUUUUGCUCAAGUAUUGAUAUAUGGGUUUUGAACCCUAUUUGAGAAUUAUAAUUUUUGUGAAAGUAAAGUGUUAUGCACACCUUGAGAUUUGAAUGAUUUGACCUUUUGGUCUUGAAAGAGUUAUUUUUGAACUCGAAUGAGAAAAGAAAUCCACAUUUUGAUUUAUUACGAAAAAGGGGUAGCAUGAUGGCUCCCGUUGUGAAUUGCUGAAUUAUUUUAUGGUGGAUUUUCUUUGAAAAUAUCUGAGCUAAGUCCGGGAGCAGUCUUUAGCACCGAGUGGGAGGUAUAGCUGUGUUGGUACUUCCCUAUAACUACGUGCCCCCGUAGGAUCCGAAAUUGAGGCUGAUUAUAUAUAGUGAUCACUAGUUUUUGGAUUUGAUACUUAUAGUCCUACUCUGAUGGCAAGGAUAGGACAGCUCUCCCCAAUGUGGGUUGUACGUUAGACUCCAUGUCGCUCACAUGGUUUAUGUCGGUUAUGAGAUCACCCAAUGUGUGUGUGUAUUCUCCUUUCUAAUAUGAAAAGUGUUAUUCUUCUAUCUGAGAAGAAAAUAUAUUUGUUUGAAAGAAUGAAUUUGAGAAAGUCAUUGUUUUCGAAAGAUUUAAUGAACAUAUAUUCCAAAGAGAAUUGUUAUGAUAUUUGAUUGCUUUAAUAAUUUAGAAUCGAGAUAGAAGUGAAUUGAGAUUUAUUAUGAUAACUCACAUAUUUCACCCGAUAUAUUUUAAUCUCUUAUGAUUAUGAUGAUUUUAAUUCGAGCUAAGUGAAUCGUUUAUAUUAGCAUGCAUAAUUUUAUAAACUGUGAUGAUAUUACGACAUUAUUUUAUAUAUGCAUUACACCCCCAUAUGCUCGGUACAUUUCCAUGGUACCGACCUAUAUAUUUGUAUAUGGGCUAUAUUUUCUUGGAAUGUAGGUACAAGGUAUAGUGUAUAUCUUCAGAUCCAGUCAGUUCACGACAUCCAGUCAGCAGGUGAUGAGUUCUUUUGAUUUAAGGGCUUGAGUUAGUUAUAUAGUUCGAGAAGUGUUGUAUUUUCUUUAUUCAAUCAUAUUGAGUUGGGUUAGUUGGGAGUCAUGACCCAGCUACCUACAGUCAGUACUAGUAGAGGCUUCAUAGACAGUCAAUAGAAGUUAAUGUAUUCCAUUUCAAUUUUGGUUGUAAAAGCAGAGUUGUAAUCUUGUAAAUUUAGUUUUGUAUCUAUAAUAUUCAGAAAAGAGUUAUUUUCUGCAGAUUUGUAUAGAUUUAUACUUUUUUUCAAUUGCUUAUGAGUUAUGCCAGUAGAAGGGUUAGCUUGGGUUCACUUGUGAUCCUAAGCACCGUGUGAAGUCUCAGGAUCCAAUUUUGGGGUGUUACAAACUUGGUAUCAGAGCACAGAGUUCAAGUGUCCUAGGGUGUCUAUGAACCGUGUCUAUUAGAGUCUUGCGGAAUGGUACGGAGAUGUCUAUACUUUUCUUCGAGAGGCUACAGGGCAUUUAGAAAAUGUCUCCAUUCUUUCAAGUCUUAAAUCGUGCUAUUGAAAAGUUCUCCAAGAAAUUUAUAUAGAUUCUCAUCUUACUCUCUAUUCCUAUGGAAUGGGGCAUAAGUCGCACCCUCUAAUCCAUAGUAAUAGAGCAUGUGAUGCAUGCUAAUCGCAUGGUGCGCAUGGUACCUCUAGAGGUUGUCCUCUAAAUUUCGGCUAAGUAUUGGUCCUUUCUCCUUUCAUACCUUGUCUUGUGGUGUCUUUCCAAUGAUUUUCAAGCAUAUAUAUCAUCCAUAUAUCAUCAUAUUAAGCUCACAAAGGAUCCUACAAGAAUACAACACACGAAUUAGAGUUACAAACAAUGAUAUAUCCAUAAUGAUGAAUCAAAAUAAGAGCUCACAAAGGAUCCUACAAGAAUACAAUACACGAAUUAGAGUUACAAACAAUGAUAUAUCCAUAAUGAUGAAUCAAAAUAAGAGCUUAGACUAGGCAAAUUUCCAUGAUCUUCCACUCAAUGUUUUGACUCCUUCCUUGACUCAAUUGAACUUUGUACACUUAUAACAAGUUGUUACACAUAUAAUAACAUCAUUAAAAACCACAAGGAAUACUUGAAGCACCAAAGAAUCCAAUAAGUUAGACUAGACAAGCAACUAGCUCAAGCUAGUAACACUAGUUUCUCCAAUUGAACUCUAAUUGACUCUUUGAAGUACAAACUUGUUAGAAAACACUUGUAACCAUUGAAAACAUGUUUUCACACUUUGUUACACAUUUAUCUCAUUAUCUACCAAUAUAGCAUAGAAUCAUCCUUAAAACAAGGCUAAAACGACUAGAAUAGCGACCCUAGAAUCCAUAAAUACACCCAACAUCAAGCAUUUACCUAAGGUGGACUUUGCUUACAACAAUAGCUAUUAUUAAAUAUUAGUAUGUCCCUUUUUGAGGCAUUUUAUGGUAGGAGGUGUAUUUCUUCUAUUGGUUGGUUUAAACUUAGUGAGACAGACAUAUUUGGUUCUUAUUUGGUUUACCAGGUUAUGAAGAAGGUAAAGGUGAUUCGAGAUAAGCUUAAGGCUGCCCAAAGUCACCAAAAGUCCUAUUCAGAUGUUAGGUGUAGAGACUUGGAAUUUGAGGUUGGGGAUAAGGUUUUCCUCAAAGUAUCUCCCAUGAAGGGAGUAAUGCGGUUUGGCAAGAAGGGGAAGCUCAGUCCUUGAUAUGUGGGCCCUUAUGAGAUUUUGCGAAGAGUUGGUAAUAUUUCUUAUGAGCUGGAGUUGCCUUCUAGCUUGAGCUUGGUUCUUCGGUCUUUCAUGUUUCCAUGAUGAGGAAGUAAAUUGGUGAUCUUUCUUCGGUUGUUCCUUUGGAAAGAUUGGGUCUCAUGGAUUCUUUGCCUUAUGAAAAGGUCCCGAUUGAGAUCUUGGAUAGGAAGGUUUAUCGAUUGCGGACCAAGGAUGUGGCUUUGAUUAAGGUUAUUUGGCGGAACCAUAAGGUGGAAGAAGAUACAUGGGAAGCAGAGGAGGACAUGAAGUCCAAAUAUCCGCAUUUAUUUUCUGCUUCUAAAAUUCGUGCGGAAGGUAUGUGUCUUCAACACAUCUUUAUUUUCUGAGUUUGUUAAAGGAAAGAUUAGUAUCUUUUCCUCUUUGUUAUCAAACUUUUUUAAAGAUUGGGAAUAUAUAUAUUUGAUAAAGCAAAUGACUCGUGCGUGUGGUUACCCCUACAUUGUCCGUCAUUUGGGGAUGAAUGCUCCUAGUGGGGGAGACUGUAACACCCUUGGGUUUUGACCCUAAGAAAAUUUCCUGGAAUUUUGGUCUCUGGACCCAAUACGACUUAAGGGUAUAAGUUGUAUGUUGUUGUACGGAUGGUAUGGUCCAGUCGUAUACUGACCAGUGUUGAUUGGUGGGAUGGAUUUUGGUUAAUAGAAAGGAUACGACUUAGGGUUACGAGUUGCAUUGGUGGUUACGGAUCAUUUGGUUCCUAAACUUAAUCUUAGACUUAGUUACUUGGGUUGGAUCUGAGUACGAGUGGCUCACUGUGAACGUAAGCGAGGGUAUAAGUCAUACCAUGGACUCAUAUGAUAGACAAUGUCCAAUCCUCCUACUAUUUUAUUUUGCUAGGGAUACGGGUCAUGGUUAUGGAUCGUAUGUUGUGAUCAUGACUUGGUGGGAUGAUUCAUAUGCUAGACAGUGUUGGAUCCGAGAGUUGAGGCCAGGAUACGAGUAAAGGAUACCAAUCGUAUUGGAGGGAACGACUCGUAUGGGUCAAUCGUACCCCUGUGAUGGGAUUUUGGUGCAACUUAAGUGAGGGUAUUCUUGACAUUUCCCCACUUAUACUAAUAACGUCCCUUGACUUCUAACCUAUGUGGGAGGUUAUUUACACUAUUAUUCCAUUCAUUAACCCUUAUAAACUUUUCUAAAACACUCCAGAAUUCUCUCAAGAACUUUUGGGCAAGGGAAGAUAGGGUUUCAACUAAAGGAUCGAUUUGGGACUUGUCUUGGUGAUUUAUUUUUGUCAUCAUCUUGGUUUAAGGCAUGUUCUCUUCCCUCAUUGUUAAUUAUCAUAAGAAUCCUUUCCUCCCUUCCUCCUUCAGUGAUUUCUUAGAUGUCGAGAGAAGGAGAAGAAAUUGAUGUACUAGUACUCUAGUUGCCGCCUCUUGUUUUCUCUUAAAUCCUUUGAUUUUUCUUAGUUGGUGGGAAAGAAGAAACAGAGGAAUAAUAGUAAUAUCUAUGUCACUAGUAUUUUUCUUUAAUUUUUUCAUUUUUCCCAUUUACAAUUCUUUUCUUGUUAAGUACUAGUACUAUACGUUAGUUUCCCCAAAACCAAAAUCCUUUUUUUGUUUCCCCUUAUUACUUACUUCACUUCAGUAAAUUUGAGGAACUAAAGUGGGCCCUACUUNNNNNNNNNNNNNNNNNNNNNNNNNNNNNNNNNNNNNNNNNNCAACCAUAUAACUUAUAUACUCUAUAAUUAUAUGCAUAUGUAUACACUAUGAUUCUCCUUAAAAUACGUCCAGCCCGUGACUCUUUAUAAAUUCAGGGUCAUGCUCGAUUAAAGUAUUAAACUUGGAUUCAAAAACUUUUGAGGUGUUACAAGGGAUGGCAUACGAAACACAUCAAGUAGAGCACUACAAUGCUGAUGGACACAAGAGUGACAUACUACUUACCUAUAAGAGGGCUACUAACCCUGUACAUACCAGAUACCAAAAACACACAAAACAUCUUUUAGCCUAGUUUACCACAGAAAUGAUGUCAUCUGCAGCAAAAGAAUUCAGGAAGCAUCAUUUGGCUCCUAAACAUUGGUCUGAUGAAGCUUGAACGACUCUUACUUUGAAAUAACACAAGACCCUAUAGCGAAAGAUUCAUGUCAUUUCUCAAGUAUACAUCAUAACUUUGUGAAAAUACAAAAUGUGUACUUGUUGCAAUUAACCAUUGAAGCUUAUCUCUUUCCGCGAACCCAACAAACAACUGGAAGUUGCAAUCACUAUUGCUAAAAGAAUUAUGAGUCAUAGGAGUCUCUACUUGGAGUCUUCUAUUACUCCGAAGUUGGCUAUACUUGAGAUGAUGCAGCUGAUAGAGGAAACGGUUCUACAUAUAGAUUUUAAUAGAUCAUCUAAAAUGGAAAGUGAUGGGGAGACUUGGGAACAUUUGGCACAAAAAAAUAAAGUUGAGCCAUUUAGAGCUCAUCAGUCGGACCUCAAGGAUUGCUCCUGGACACAUACUUGUUUGUGCUACAGAAAACUAUUGAGCGACGCCACAGUCGCUGCCAGAUAAAAUUGUGGAUAUCACAUACUUGUAGUUUGAAUGUUCAAAUCAAAAGGAGGAAUUUGGAUUUGCUCGAAGUGCUAGGGGCUGACAUCAGAGCAAAAAUUUCUAAUUUAAAUAUUGUUGAAAUGAGUAUUACUUCUAUGAUCAAGAAUCUUGCUCAAUUACUUUGGUGCAGCAUUGAAGCUAACAAGAGCUAUCCAUAUGGCCAAGUUUAUAAAGUGUUAUCUCUUUCGUUUUGUCUGAAUGGUAGUGAAGCUUAUGAUUGAUGGAAGGAAGAGGAUGGUUAAUUUCUUCCAUCAUUGUGUCGUCCUUAAAAUUGAAUUCUGGAACUCCCAAGUCAAGCUUUCUUACUGGAAGGUGAAAUUGCAUGAGCUAAAGCAAGUUAUGGAAUAUUUGCAGCAGUAGUAAUUUACUAUAAGGACGCACUUAGCUACACCUUAAAGCUAAUUACUGAUCAAAGGCCUGAAGCAUUUGACAAGGAAACUGGUUCCACCUCAAGAAAAGCUGCAGCACUCUUGCAUAGCCUUUUGAGGCUUCUAAACCAUGGAGCAUUCCAUAAUUGUCAAAAAGAAUCACUGGAGCAUUGCAGCAAAAUAUCACUGGCCUCAUCAUUUCUAUCUUCACAUUUUCAGUGUGGAGGACAAGGUUGUUAUAAGGGGAAAGGAGUAACGAUUUAGGGGUAUGUAGUUAAUUUUUAAUUUACUAGUUAAUCCUUAGCUUUUAGUCUUUGAUGUCUAGUUAACCCAGAAUAGACCCAAAUGGCUACUAGCUAAUUGGUGACCAUAUGUUAAUUUUUAUUUGGGUUGUAGGUUUGAUGUCAUAGUAGGGACAGCUGUCUAACAACAACAACAACGAACCCAGUAUAUUCCCACAUAGUGGGGUCUAGGGAGGGUAAAAUGUACGCAGUCCUUACCACUACCUCCGAAGAAAUAGAGAGGUGGUUUUCGAUAGACCCCCGGCUCAGAAUAAAAGAACAGCAAACAUAGUCGUAAUAAAAUAUGAAACAAUACACUAGCAACCUAAAGGCACACACCUUCCCCCAACCCUCUUAACUAGAAGCUGAAACCUAUAUACAAAGCCCUAAGACUAUUAGCCAAGCUACACCAAUACACUCCUAACUACUGACUAUGACUCACCCACACGCACUAGCUCUUUAACCUAAUCUGCAUCCUCCAUACCUUCCUAUCUAGGUUCAUGUCCUCUUUAAGUUGUAACUGCUCUAUGUCAUGUCUAAUCACCUCUCUCCAGUAUUUAUUCGGCCUACCUCUACCUCAUCUGAAACCAUUCACGGCCAACCUCUCACACCUACGACUGGGCAUCAGUGCCCCUCCUCAUCACACACUAAACCAUCUCAACUUCACUUCUGACAUCUUGUACUCCACUGACGCCACUCCUACCUUCUAUCGAAUAGUCUUCUUCCUAACCUUGUCACCCAUAGUAAGUCUACACAUCCAAUGCAACAUCCUCACUUCCGCCACCUUCAACUUUUGGAUGUGAGAGUUCUUGACUAGCCAACACUCCACGCCAUAUAGCAUGGCUGGACGAAGUGCAACUCUAUAGAAUUUGCCUUUAAGCUUGGUAGGCACCUUGUUAUCAUACAAAACUCUCGAGGUGAACCUCCAUUUCAUCCAUCCUACCACAAUACUGUGAGAGACAUCCUCGUCAAUCUCUCUAUUUCUAUGAAUCAUAGACCCAAGAUAAUUAAAACUAUCCCUCUUACAAAUAACCUGGGAAUCCAUCUUCACGACCACCUCGUCCUCCUGCCUCAAGUCAUUAAACUUGCAUUCUAACUACUCCGUCUUGGUCCUACUCAACCUGAACUCUUUAGACUCUAGGGUUUGUCUCAAAACCUCCAAUUUAUCAUUAACACCCCACCCCCACUCCUACAUGUCUCAUCAAUCAACACUACUUCAUCCACAAAUAGCAUACACCAAGACACCUCUCUUUGGAUACGUCGCGUCAACGCAUCCAUCACCAAGGCGAAUAAAAAUAGACUAAGAGUUGAUCCCUGGUGCAACCCUAUCAAGACAGGGAAAUGCCCUGAAUCUCCUCCCACCAUCCUCACCCGAGUCUUUGCUCCAUCAUACAUGUCCUUAAAUGAUCUGAUGUACGCCACCGAGACCUUUCUUGCCUCCAAGCAUCUCCAAAGAACCUCCUUAGGCACUGUCGUACGCCUUUUGCAAGUCGAUGAACACCAUAUAUAAGUCCCUCUUCCCCUCCCUAUACUGCUCCACCAGUCUCCACAUAAGGUGAAUUGCCUGUGCCGUCGAGUGACCAGACAUAAAUCCAAAUUAAUUCUCAAAAAUAGACACAACUCAAAUCUAGUAAAUAAUUAUUCAUAGUAAAUAAUAGUGAACAAUGUAUGAGAAAGGACAUAGUUUAAGGUGAGAUUCCAUGGUGUAUGUUAUUUCCAGAUGACAUAAUCUUGAUUCACGAGACUUACAAUAGAGAUAACGAUAAGAGAGAGGUUUCGAGACGGACCCUAGAAUCUUAAAAGUUCGGAUUGAGCAAGACUAAGAUGUAUGUUGCGUAGACUCUUCAAAAAAGUCAUCGAGGGUGUGUUGAAUCCUUCAAAAAUAGUGUUUUCCGGAGGAUCUGACAUGAGAGCGGUCUCAAUUUGGAAGAGUACGAGCAACUUAGACCAAGAUGGUACUUUGAGUGCAAAUUCAGUGACGUAAAGCAUGAGGUGGAUGUAUAAGUAAGACUUCAUGUACAAGUCAUCCAAAAGAGAGGAAGUUUCAAGUUCUUGGGUCUAUAAUCCAAGGUUAUUAGGAGAUUGAUGAGGAUAUCACUCACCGUAUUGGUGCAAGGUAGAUGAAAUGGAGGCUCGCAUCUGAAGACUUGUGUGAUAAGAAAGUGCCACCAAAACUUAAAGGCAAGUUCUACAGAGUGGUAAUUCAACCAACUAUGUUGUAUCGAACGGAGUAUUAACUAGUCAAGAAUUCUCAUAUUCAGAAGUUGAAAUUUGCAGAAAUAAGGAUGAUGUGAUGGAUAUAUGGCAAUACUAGGAGAGAUAGGAUUAGAAAUGAGGAUAUCUGGGACAAUAUGGGAGUGACUUUGGUGGAGGACAAGCUAUGGGAAGUGAGAUUGAGAUGGCUCGGGUAUGUGAAGAGAAGAUGUCUGAAUGCCCCAGUGUGAAGGUCUGAGAUGAUGGCUAAGGAUAGUUUCAGUAGAGGUAGAGGUAGGCCGAAGAAGUUUUGAUAAAGGUGAUUCGACAAGACGUGGCAUAAUUUUAGAUUACUAAGAACAUGAUCGUAGAUAGAAAGUUGUGGAGGACGGAUUAGGGUAGAAAGUUAGUAUGUAGCAACGCAUUGUCGUGUUAUCUGUCCAUGCUAGUAGUUAUAGUAUUGCUCCAGUAGUUUCUUUUCCUUCAAUUUCUAUUGUUAUUUGUUGUUUCUUGUACUUUGACCAUCAUAUUAUUUUGUUGUAGUUUCUUUUUGGUUACAUGUGUUGUUUUUGUACUUCUGUUACUUCUUGUUUGGACUACUUUGGAAGAUUUUUCUCAAAUUGAGGGUCUAUUGGAGAUAGCUUCUCUACCACUAAGGCAGGAGUAAGGUCUGCAUACAUUCUACCUUCCCUAAACCCCACUGCGUGGGAUUAUAUUUGGUUACCUGUUGCAGUGAUGAGAAAGGAACAAGCUGAAUAAGAAUAUCUUUCUUCCUGCCUCUCUCUUUCUUCCUAUCUCGCUCUUUUCUUCUUUCUUUGUUCCCAUUUGUCCAUUGUUGAGCUCACCAGAACUCUUCCUAUUGUUGCACAUUCUUUUGUUGAUAAGGUAAAAGUUAUCUUAGUCAUCAGUCAUUUAACCUAUAUAUUCCAGAUUCAUAAACAGUCAAACAAAAUGUUUAUGAAACAAGAUAGCAAUCACACAAUGUAUUCAACCUCUUGGCAUCUCUCCAAACACAAAAUUCGCCACACCAAAGACAGUCACGUAUUUCUUUUAGAUGACAGUCAUUCAAUACAAUGCCAAAGGACUGCUUAUCUCAGUUGUGGAAAAUUUUCAGCUUGAGCGAGCUGAAAAGGCACUCUAAGACGUACCCAAAAGCACCCCACACUUGCUUAUAAUCAGCUCCCAAUGUCUGCUGUUUACUCAGACUUCACCAAAGACUGAGCUUCUCACUCAAGCAAUUCGUCGAACAUCUCAUAUGCAUAAUACAGUUAAGGUAUCACAAGCAAUAUGAGUUGGUGCCGACCCGCGCAAUUACGUGGGAAUUACAGUGCAACGACAAAAAUAUGGAAACUCAAACCACAAUAUUAUGUAUUAAUUGCAAAAUACUUUCAAUUUACAGGGGUUAGUGGAGUUGGGAAACAGGGGUUGCAUCACAAGGUAGAGUGCAAGAGAGAAAACAACAAG
RNAcentral lists this long non-coding RNA (41645 nucleotides) under Capsicum annuum. Its description in RNAcentral is "long non-coding RNA (CANN_LNC019257)". The record is from RNAcentral. Lineage: Eukaryota; Viridiplantae; Streptophyta; Magnoliopsida; Solanales; Solanaceae.